AUUUCUUGCGUUCUGGUCUUUUUGCGUUUUAGGUUAAAAAAAUCUAUUUUUUAAUGAAAAUUUUCUCAAAUUAUUCCAAUUCUUUGUCGAUUAACUAGGAAAAAAUCAAGGAUCAAAAGCCUCUAUUUAGGGACUAAAUAGUGGAAGCCAUCCUAAAAACCCGAAAUUCCUUAUUUUUCUAUUUUUUAUGAUUUAUUUUCUGUGUGGGGUUGAAUAAGUAUGUUUGUAAUAUUUCAGAAGUUGGCAGAAAAAAAAU
This 256-nucleotide long non-coding RNA is filed under the name Lathyrus oleraceus (garden pea). RNAcentral describes it as "Pisum sativum (pea) long non-coding RNA (PSAT_LNC006637)". The record is from RNAcentral. Lineage: Eukaryota; Viridiplantae; Streptophyta; Magnoliopsida; Fabales; Fabaceae.